Molecule: small RNA, 735 nt
Filed under: uncultured fungus
Lineage: Eukaryota; Fungi
Description: SSU rRNA
Rfam family: Eukaryotic small subunit ribosomal RNA
Source: RNAcentral
AUCAACUUUCGAUGGUAGGAUAGAGGCCUACCAUGGUGGUAACGGGUAACGGGGUGUUAGGGCACGACACCGGAGAGGGAGCCUGAGAAACGGCUACCACAUCCAAGGAUGGCAGCAGGCGCGCAAAUUACCCAAUCCCGACACGGGGAGGUAGUGACAAUAAAUAACAAUACGGGGUUCUUUUGGAUCUCGUAAUUGGAAUGAGUACAAUUUAAAUCUCUUAACGAGGAACAAUUGGAGGGCAAGUCUGGUGCCAGCAGCCGCGGUAAUUCCAGCUCCAAUAGCGUAUAUUAAAGUUGUUGCAGUUAAAAAGCUCGUAGUUGAAUUUCGGGAUUAGUAAGUUGGUCGUGCCUCUGGUAUGUACUGGCUUUACUGGUUCCUCCUUCUURAAGAACUGUAAUGUCAUUAAUUUGGUGUUGCAGGGAAACAGGACUGUUACUUUGAAAAAAUUAGAGUGUUUAAAGCAGGCUAACGCUUGAAUACAUUAGCAUGGAAUAAUGAAAUAGGACGUUUGAUCCUAUUUUGUUGGUUUCUAGGAUUGACGUAAUGAUUAAUAGGGAUAGUUGGGGGCAUUAGUAUUCAAUUGUCAGAGGUGAAAUUCUUGGAUUUAUUGAAGACUAACUACUGCGAAAGCAUUUGCCAAGGAUGUUUUCAUUAAUCAAGAACGAAAGUUAGGGGAUCGAAGACGAUCAGAUACCGUCGUAGUCUUAACCAUAAACUAUGCCGACUAGGGAU